Molecule: long non-coding RNA, 1118 nt
Organism: Prosopis cineraria
Lineage: Eukaryota; Viridiplantae; Streptophyta; Magnoliopsida; Fabales; Fabaceae
Exons: 3
Source: RefSeq, a predicted model, not a curated record
CAGAGGAUAGAGACGCGAGACAGAGUGAGAUCCAGAUUUGAGCCUUCAUUCUCCUCCUUGCUUGGCUUUCCUCCUUCGCUAGUGAGUAGUGUAUCGUCUUCCACCGCUGCAAGGUGUCCCGACGAAGUGACUAUCGACCUUCUCCCCUGUUGUGUCAGCUAAGAAACUGGCCUUGUUGACGGUGGGUGUCGGAUCCUUCUCCCUCCUCUGUUCUUAGCGUCACCGGCAUGGGUGGCAAGGAUUCGACUUGCCACCACCUUCCUCUACCUACGCUUCACUUCGUUCAGGUUUUUCUGCCAUCUCCUUCUGCUCUUCUUCCCUGACCGCUGUACCAAAUCAAAGACCGUUCCUCUUUUCCUCACCGGCGUCGAUUGCGUAGGUGUUUGUAAGAUGGGUAGCUCGAUUGAAGUAUAAGGAGUGAGUGUUGAGCUUUGAAUGUAUUACAGGUGACUUUAUACAGAACAUUGGUUGCUAACGGCAGUUCCGUUAGUCCUUGGCGCGCCAUGGUACACCUAACUAGCAGUGUGUUUAUGGGAGGUGCUAGCCCCGUGCGAUGGCCAACGCACAUGGAACGGAGAUGGUUAUUCGUGAGCAUUGUACUCACGUUUGUUUCGUGGCUUCAAGCGCGUUUGAUUAGCAUUACUCUCGUGGACUGUGUGUCCACGUUUGUUUCAUAGCUUCGGCUGCAUUUGGUUACUUACCCUUGUGGAUUGUGUGUUCAUGUUUGUAUUCGUGGCAUAAGUUGCGUUCGGUUAUUUACCCUCGUGGAUUGUAUGUCCACAUUUGUAUUCGUGGCAUAAGCCGCGUUCGGUUAUUUACCCUCGUGGAUUGUGUAUCCACAUUUGUUUAUUGUUCUGAUAAGUCCCUAAAAUUAUGAAUUUGAUUAUUUGGUGAUUUUAUAUUCCAUUGAUUUUUAUUUAGUAAACUAUUUACAAAUAUUUAUAUUAUUUAUGUGCUUUCUUGAAAUCAAGUGGUAAUAACAUUUGUUAUGAUAGUUUAAUGAUUUAAGAUUUUAUUUAAAAUUUUAUAGAGCUAUUUUAUUUUGAAAUUUAUUAAAUUUUUAUGAAAUUGUUAUCUAUUUAACUUACAUAAUUAUUUCAAACCUUUCUUUUUAUUCA